Molecule: non-coding RNA, 4925 nt
Organism: Zonotrichia albicollis (white-throated sparrow)
Lineage: Eukaryota; Metazoa; Chordata; Aves; Passeriformes; Passerellidae
Source: RefSeq, a predicted model, not a curated record
CCCAAGAGCUGUUGGGGGCUCCAUCCUUGCGGAUCUUCAAAAGCCAGGCAGGUCCUGGCAGCCGCUGUCGGUGGUCCUUAGGUGACCCCUCGCUGCAGAUAUUCCAGAACCACAUGGGCACAAUCUUUUGCCAUGUUUUUUGGGAUGAUCCUGCUUGAGCAGGGAGAUUGGACCAGAUUACCACUGUAGUACCUUUCCAGCUUGACUCAUUCUGUGAUUCUGCGGUUCUGUCAUACGUGAUCAGGGGGACUGGAGAAGCUGGCCUCCAGAGAUCCAUUUCAGUGGCAGCCACUCUGCCAUCGUGCAUGUCCAGGGAAGGAGAGGCCAGCUUCCACAGUGCCAGAAGUUCAAAGCAUUCUGCUUUAUGUCCAGACAACAGCAAGGUAGCACACCAACAGAAAGAAGAAAUACCAGCACUAAACAUGUAACCUGUGCAGCCUGUGCUGGUGUUUCCAAUUCAAACCUUACCCUCAGACUGCAGCAGGAACAUUUUCUUCAAAUAAAGAAACAAUCACAGAAUCCCUUAGGUUGGAAAGGACCUCUGAGAGCAACCUCCGACCAAACACCACCGUGUCAAUUAGAACAUGCCACUAAGUGCUACAUCCUGUCUUUUCUAGAACACCUUCAGGAAUAGUGAUUCUACCAUCUCCCUGGGCAGUCCAUUCCAAUGUUUAACAACCUUUUCUAUGAAGAAAUUUCUCCUAAUGCCCAACCUGACCUUCCUGUGGGUCAGUUUGAGACUAGAGCAAAGUAAUGAUUUCAAAUAUUACUGGACAGAGGCCACUGUACUGUUUCAGUUCUUCGACUUCCACUGCAGUUCCAUAAAUGGCAAUGGCAUUUUUACAGAGAUCACUAUAAAUUGCUUAGAGAUUGUCAAGUCAUUGAUCUCUGGUCACUAAACAGUUGCCAGGUAAGAAACCUGAAUCAUUAGCACUAUAAGUUAUUUUCCAUGUCUUAGUUAGGAAACAAAUUAAUAGCCAAGUGUUAGAGCGUUUGAGCUAUUCAGUAUUGGAUGUCAGUACUUGCUGUCUUGCUUUAUUCAGAAAAAAUAAGAAAUGGCAUUCUACAUUUUGCUUUUUCUUAUCCACAGCUGUCUGCAUCUUUGUUUUUGUUUUCUGCUGAGAAGUAUGUUCAGUUAAAGCAAAAAUACAGGCUACAGCAACAUUUCCUGCUCUGUUGUUUUGUGCUGGCUACUACCACAGCCCUUUGAUUCAGAGGGUUUGGUUGCUCUUGGAAAUGCAGAUGUUCCAUUUCAGCAACCACAGUCCGAAGAGAACAUUUCUGCAAGCUACAGGGUGUAGGCUUGGGAUCAUUUCAUAUAUGAAGCAGUAAGUAAUUUCUAAAAUACACAGAAAAUGUUUCUUGCAAUCUUCAUCUCAAGCAAGAUGGAAAUCAUCACUAGAGGUACAGAGCCUAAUUCACAGUGCUCUUGAUAUAGGUAUUAGGGAUGAUGCCAGGCCUGAGCAGGGUGAUUUGAGGCACCUAGCUGAAAAUAAUGCAAAAUUCAUGAGCCUGUAAUAGUGUAUGGAAGAGGAAGCCUGAUUCUGCAGCUUAGUGGGCAGGAUCACCACUGUGAUCAACAGAUGCCACUUAUGUGUUUUAUCCAAUGUCUGUGGAAAAACUUACAGGUACUCUUGGAAAUGCAAAACGCCUUGCAUCCUCUCCAGAUGUCCCUGAAACAAAGCUACAUGGCUCUUGCUCUGUUGCUCUGUCUUGCUCUUUGCCCUUUUUUUUUUUUUUUUGCAGUGGCCCAGAUUCAACACAGAAAGUAGAGAGAAGCACCAUCCCAUUGCUUGGCAACUUGGAGAAUUCACAGAGAUGAGAGCUGGGCAUCAGACGGGCCCAGCCUCACAUGUUUAUUUGCCAGUGAAGGAGCAGUACACCUGAAACUUCUGUCUCUGAAGCAAUACACCUGAGAACUUCUACCAGUGUUUGUGGUGACUUUCACUCCUGCAGCCGGCGUGCCCAGCGGAGCAUCGCCAGGAGCGGGCAGGAAGCCCCCGGCACUCUGGCCCCGGGAGCCGCACGACGGGGUCAGGGCCACCCCUUCGUCAUCGCUCACCAGAGCCGGCCUCAGUCCCGGUCUUUCAGGAGCUCCUUGGGACUCGUUGGUCAGAAGAAACCCCGCACGGUUUAAUGCCCGGGGCAGGGUCUGCUCCUCGGUCAGCGCUCCACCCGCCGCAGGGCUAUGGUCUGAAACAAAAGCAAGCUCUAGAAAGGCAGAUCUCCUUUGUCGUACAUUCAGGGAUGGAUUUUCUCCUCUUCUUCUGGUGCUGAAAUCAGGGAGAGGACUAAUUCCUCUGAAGAUAAUGGAGCAAACCAACUCAAGUGAAAGGAGAAUCAGACUGUAGCUCUAAGAAACACCCAUUCCUAUUACUUCCUAGGUUUUUGUUGUUUUUGUUUUUGUUUUUGUUUUUGUUUUUUUUCCUGCAAAUAUAUAAAUCUUUGUAUUAGCUGACUUCAAAGAUCAUAAAUCCAUAAUUGUAUGUGCAGACUACUAAUGCAGUGCGCUGCUGAUGCAUAAAACACACGUAGAUAAUACACAAAUACACUCAGGCUGGGCUUAAAUUUAGCUUCAACCACACAAAAGAUAUCUUUAUAACUAAGAAUGAUGGGAAGAAAGAUCUCAUUCCAGACCAGAUGAACAUCUCAUUUUUUCAUUAAUCCUGGAUUUGCCUGAUCUGACUUAAAUGUGUCCUAAGACAUUUCUUAGUACUUUGGAAAUUACAUCAACAUACUUGGGUUGGAGAUGCCAGAGUUAGAGAAAAAAGGGGGGGAUUCUAUUUUUAAAAUUCUGCUGUUCCUUUUAAAAAUAGAUCAGCAAAGCAUAACUUUUGCUAUAGCUGUAAUUUUUCAGGCUAAGCAAACUCCAGUAAUUUCAAAAGCAGUGGGAACAAGGGGUCACUUGGGGCCAGCCAGAAAAAAAAAAAAAAUUAACUCUUUGCUCUUCUCCAGCACAAGUUUUUGUCAUGUUAUUAUUGUUGAAGAGUCAGCUUAUAAAUGAAAAGUUAAGCUUUUCCUUGCAAGAAAACAGAAACUGAAAAAAGUUUGCAACAGUAGUGAUUUCAGAGCUGGAUGAGAACAUUAAUGAGGGAAGAGAAAUAAAAACAGGAGUUCAGCUGUGCAUCUUCUCAGUACUUAUCACUACAGCCAGACUAGAAUUUGCUAAAUGACAUCUGUCACUGACAGCUGCUGUCAUCAGGAGACUGCCAGGAGCUGCAAACACCUUUCAGCAGCAGGAGGCUAUGAGCCAUGGCAGUGUACAAGCUUUUCAUGACAUUGCCUUCAGUGGUAGAGCUCCAAAGUCUUUCCCUAAUAAUAUUGCUGCAAGUCUUCAGUUUAGAGGGGAAGAAAGCCAUGCUACAGCAGCAUGACCUGACUCUCUUGAAAAUUUAAUGUGAAUAAUACAGAUCCUUGUUUCAUGAUGGUUUUGUAUCAGACAGCUAAACUUCCAUGACCUAGUGUUUUAGGUGAUUUUUAGAUGUUACAUUUUAUACAAGUAUACAAAUAACCCUUAAACAGUGAAAAACCCAAGCAGAGGUAGGUAGGCUGUCCUUGCCAUUAAGGUGUGUUUAGCAAAAGGAUGGAGUCCCCCCAGCCCAAAUUCACACCUUUGAGCUCUGGCCAUCUCAAAGAUAAAAUCCCUAGGAAUAAAACUCCAUCUUUACCUAACCUGCCAGCUGUAGCUCAAGUUUGCUGAUUUCAACUGGAGCUCCACUCACAUUUAUAUAGAAGUUAUUUGUCAUCCUCCUGGCAAUCUAUAGGGCAAAUGAUUGUUUUCCCCAGAUUGUUUUCCCCAUAUCUUUCCAAGAAUGGGAAUGGGGGUUAAAAAAAUCUAUUGGUUUCCCAAGUGGUCUCCAACGGGGUAAUGAUAGUUUGGCACUGGAAAUGCUUGGCCUCUGUAGUUUGAGAACCAAACUGGGGAAGCUAGGAUAGAUGUUCAGGCUUUGAAAACACCAGCUAUUUCUGUUUGUUUGUAUCUACAAUUGCAUUGGGAUAAACAGCUCUCAGCAGAAGAAAAUGCAAUUUGUUUAAGUAUUUCAGCCAAAGAACAGCAAUUAUAAAAAUAAGGCACUCCUUUCCCUACCUUCAAAGCAUUUGCUAGUGUCAAUACUAGGACCUGAGAACAAGUCCUGAGGCUUAAAUCUCUUCUAACUGACACUUAAGAGAUUAAUCUCUUCUAGCUUGACACCUCAGAGAUUUACUAUUAUGCAUUACACAUUGUGAAAUGUUGCAAGCACUUUCUAGUUAGAGCUUUAUUUUGUCCCAUUGGCUAAAGAGUAGUCACACUGCAAUGAUGUCACACUGCAGUGAUGUUUUAGACUCCUCCUUGAGAAAUGAACUGCUUCAUGCUGUAACUGCAGAGUGUGAUCAGUGGAUAGACAGGACACCAAUGAAUCUUUAGUCACAAGCCAUCCAUACAUCUCAGUUGCACUCUCUGAAACAUCUACAGCUCCCCACUUGUCAGGAAUGGUGUUGCCUUAAUAAAUCACACCAAAAAUCCUUAAUGGUAUUUUAACAGCACUGAGCAGGCAUUGUUUCUAGGAAAAAAAACCCCAAAACCUCAAAAAACUUGGUGAUCUCAAAGUGUAUACCGGGAAGCACAAUGCUGUAGCUACAACUCAUAGUAGCUUCUGAUGUUGGCAUUGACAAAACAAAAGGGAGUCUUCUUCAAUGUAACAAAGAUUUCCAUGAGUUGAUCAGAACAUACAGAACUAUUUGACCAAAAGUCUCUUUCAAAUAAAAAAAAGUCUGCCAUAUAUAAGCUAUUAUAAAGAAUAAAUUUUAAGGGCUUAAUCAAAUAAAAUUUCUUUCAUGAAAGAUAAAUUUCUGGCUAUUCAAAAGUGUAAUAUAAAGAUUAAUUGUUUGUUUUGUGUCUGUUACUGAAAAAGUUCUGCUAAAAUAAUAAAAAAAUGCUUUCAUCA